GAUGAACGCUGGCGGCGUGCCUAAUACAUGCCAGUCGAGCGAACGGACGAGAAGCUUGCUUCUCUGAUGUUAGCGGCGGACGGGUGAGUAACACGUGGAUAACCUACCUAUAAGACUGGGAUAACUUCGGGAAACCGGAGCUAAUACCGGAUAAUAUUUUGAACCGCAUGGUUCAAAAGUGAAAGACGGUCUUUCUGUCACUUAUAGAUGGAUCCGCGCUUCAUUAGCUAGUUGGUAAGGUAACGGCUUACCAAGGCAACGAUGGAUAGCCGACCUGAGAGGGUGAUCGGCUACACUGGAACUGAGACACGGUCCAGACUCCUACGGUAGGCAGCAGUAGGGAAUCUUACGCAAUGGGCGAAAGCCUGACAGAGCAACGCCGCGUGAGUGAUGAAGGUCUUCGGAUCGGAAAACUCUGUUAUUAGGGAAAAACAUAUGUGUAAUUAACUGUGCAGAUCUUGACGGUACCUAAUCAGAAAGCAACGGCUAACUACGUG
RNAcentral lists this ribosomal RNA (497 nucleotides) under uncultured bacterium. RNAcentral's name for it is "partial 16S ribosomal RNA". It matches the Rfam family "Bacterial small subunit ribosomal RNA", at positions 28 to 507 of the family's 1533-position model. The record is from RNAcentral.